This 512-nucleotide ribosomal RNA is filed under the name uncultured bacterium. Its description in RNAcentral is "partial 16S ribosomal RNA". It matches the Rfam family "Bacterial small subunit ribosomal RNA", at positions 28 to 523 of the family's 1533-position model. The record is from RNAcentral.
GACGAACGCUGGCGGCGUGCCUAAUACAUGCAAGUCGAGCGAAUCACUGGGAGCUUGCUCCCGGUGGUUAGCGGCGGACGGGUGAGUAACACGUGGGCAACCUGCCUGUAAGACUGGGAUAACACCGGGAAACCGGUGCUAAUACCGGAUAAUCCUUUCCCUCUCAUGAGGGAAAGCUGAAAGUCGGUUUCGGCUGACACUUACAGAUGGGCCCGCGGCGCAUUAGCUAGUUGGGGAGGUAACGGCUCACCAAGGCGACGAUGCGUAGCCGACCUGAGAGGGUGAUCGGCCACACUGGGACUGAGACACGGCCCAGACUCCUACGGGAGGCAGCAGUAGGGAAUCUUCCACAAUGGACGAAAGUCUGAUGGAGCAACGCCGCGUGAGCGAUGAAGGCCUUCGGGUCGUAAAGCUCUGUUGUUAGGGAAGAAUAAGUACCGGAGUAACUGCCGGUACCUUGACGGUACCUAACCAGAAAGCCACGGCUAACUACGUGCCAGCAGCCGCCGUAA